Molecule: long non-coding RNA, 999 nt
Organism: Gambusia affinis (western mosquitofish)
Lineage: Eukaryota; Metazoa; Chordata; Actinopteri; Cyprinodontiformes; Poeciliidae
Exons: 3
Source: RefSeq, a predicted model, not a curated record
CUCCUGUCUCUUUGUAUUUACCCUGAAGUGUUGCAUGUGCGAGCCCCUCGGGCCCCCUCUGCUGCCUCAUCUGCGGCUCCGCUCCACUUCUCCGCCUCGGUCAUGACUCGGUGUCAGAUACUUACUGUGGCCCCAGAAGCCCCAGGAGCCCCUGAAGCAGCACAUGCAGCUGCAGGUGAGUCUGUGUCCAGCAUGUCCUCGUCGGCCCCUGCAGAUGAUGUGGCCUAUGUGGCCCCCUUUCGUCAGACGCCUCUCAGGAACCGGUGAAGACAGAUAUUCUGUUCAGCAGCGGCGAACGGAAGCUUCCUCUGGAGGUAAGAGCUGAUCUGAUCUGCCUCAAUUUACCCGCCUCACACCUCGAUUUGUUUCAUUUUUUAAAAAACAGAAUUACAAAUUACAAUGAACAAAAAGGUGUGAUAAAAGAAUAGUAAUAACCACGUCUUCCUACUAUUCUUUUGUCACGCCUUUUCCAUAUUUGAGUUUCAGGUGGCAGGGUGCUCUGGUUCAGGCUCAGCAGUCCUCUCAGGUGGAGAACAUGGAACUGAUUGGUCUAAGACUCACAGCAACCUUCUUUCUUUUUUGAGUAAUAUUUUUUUAUUUUUAUUUUUUUAAUCAAAGAUAUUAUUUGCAUUGCUUCUUUACAAAUAAAAAUAUCCAGGAUUCCAUAAAAUUUUCUAUUCAAGUUUGUUUAUGUUGCUGCAAUUCACAACAAAUCUGUGUGAUGAUGUAUUUGUCCAGUUUGGUGGAGGAUCUUUACAGACUGAAGGAGUAAAACAUUUGGACAACAGCAGUGUUAUGUUGUGUUAGUUGCAUUGGUUCAGAUGAUUUUGGCAGAUAUUGUCUCAUGUGGAGCACCAUGGCAUAAUGUAAACAAUAAAUCCAGAGGUCUAGCUAACAUUUCACAGAGAUUAAAAUACAUGUCACAUCCUGUCACAUUAAACAUGUCAGCUUCAUUCAUUCACAACUGCUUGAAAAAAAUCAUUUAGCCAUCCUGAGAUA